AUUGGUGACUUCAAUGAGAUCUUGCUCUCAUCUGAAAAGGAAGGAGGGGUUGCACGGCACCAAUCCCGUCUGGCAGCGUUCCAAGAUGCUCUGUCUGAAUGCUCUCUAGAGGAUAUGGGAUAUGUUGGUGAUAAGUUCACUUGGUUUAGAGGUGGACUGAAGGAACGCUUAGACAGGGCUGUUACAAAUGCUGAUGGGCAUGCACCCGUAUGCAGGCCUGUGUAA
Molecule: ribosomal RNA, 225 nt
Filed under: Triticum aestivum (bread wheat)
Lineage: Eukaryota; Viridiplantae; Streptophyta; Magnoliopsida; Poales; Poaceae
Description: partial small subunit ribosomal RNA
Source: RNAcentral